Molecule: unclassified non-coding RNA, 253 nt
Filed under: uncultured bacterium
Lineage: Bacteria
Description: contains 16S-23S intergenic spacer region
Rfam family: Bacterial small subunit ribosomal RNA
Source: RNAcentral
GACAGAAGGGACGAGCGUUAUUCAUCAUUACUGGGCGUCAAGGGUAUGUAGGCGGUUUACCAUGUUUUGUGCUAAAUUCUAUGGAUGGCCCCAUAAGUCCGCACUUUUUACAGGUAAACUUGAGUCAGGUUAGGGUUCGGAGUACUCUCCGUGUAGUACUAAAAUGCUAAAAUAUGGAGAUGACUGCCAAAGAUGAAGAUACCGUUCUUAAUUUGACUGACGCUGAGGUACGGAAGUAUGGGUAUCGAACGGG